RNAcentral lists this ribosomal RNA (492 nucleotides) under uncultured bacterium. RNAcentral's name for it is "partial 16S ribosomal RNA". It matches the Rfam family "Bacterial small subunit ribosomal RNA", at positions 29 to 507 of the family's 1533-position model. The record is from RNAcentral.
AGUGAACGCUGGCGGUAGGCCUAACACAUGCAAGUCGAACGGCAGCACAGUAAGAGCUUGCUCUUACGGGUGGCGAGUGGCGGACGGGUGAGGAAUACAUCGGAAUCUACUUUUUCGUGGGGGAUAACGUAGGGAAACUUACGCUAAUACCGCAUACGACCUACGGGUGAAAGCAGGGGAUCUUCGGACCUUGCGCGAUUGAAUGAGCCGAUGUCGGAUUAGCUAGUUGGCGGGGUAAAGGCCCACCAAGGCGACGAUCCGUAGCUGGUCUGAGAGGAUGAUCAGCCACAAUGGAACUGAGACACGGUCCAGACUCCUACGGGAGGCAGCAGUGGGGAAUAUUGGACAAUGGGCGUAAGCCUGAUCCAGCCAUACCGCGUGGGUGAAGAAGGCCUUCGGGUUGUAAAGCCCUUUUGUUGGGAAAGAAAAGCAGCAGGUUAAUACCCCGCUGUUCUGACGGUACCCAAAGAAUAAGCACCGGCUAACUUCGUG